Molecule: transfer RNA, 75 nt
Filed under: Candidatus Synechococcus spongiarum
Lineage: Bacteria; Bacillati; Cyanobacteriota; Cyanophyceae; Synechococcales; Synechococcaceae
Also listed under: 3 other names
Description: tRNA-Asn-GTT
Rfam family: tRNA
About the family: Transfer RNA (tRNA) molecules are approximately 80 nucleotides in length. Their secondary structure includes four short double-helical elements and three loops (D, anti-codon, and T loops).
Source: RNAcentral
UCCUCGGUAGCUCAGCGGUAGAGCGGUCGACUGUUAAUCGAUUGGUCACUGGUUCGAAUCCAGUCCGGGGAGCCA